This 380-nucleotide ribosomal RNA is filed under the name uncultured bacterium. RNAcentral's name for it is "bacterial SSU rRNA". It matches the Rfam family "Bacterial small subunit ribosomal RNA", at positions 29 to 433 of the family's 1533-position model. The record is from RNAcentral.
AGCGAACGCUGGCGGCAGGCUUAACACAUGCAAGUCGAACGGGCGUAGCAAUACGUCAGUGGCAGACGGGUGAGUAACGCGUGGGAACGUACCUUUUGGUUCGGAACAACCCAGGGAAACUUGGGCUAAUACCGGAUAAGCCCUUACGGGGAAAGAUUUAUCGCCGAAAGAUCGGCCCGCGUCUGAUUAGCUAGUUGGUGUGGUAACGGCGCACCAAGGCGACGAUCAGUAGCUGGUCUGAGAGGAUGAUCAGCCACAUUGGGACUGAGACACGGCCCAAACUCCUACGGGAGGCAGCAGUGGGGAAUAUUGGACAAUGGGCGCAAGCCUGAUCCAGCCAUGCCGCGUGAAGUGAUGAAGGCCCUAGGGUUGUAAAGCUC